Long non-coding RNA from Aedes albopictus (Asian tiger mosquito), 258 nucleotides. RefSeq lists it as uncharacterized. The record is from RefSeq and is a predicted model, not a curated record. Lineage: Eukaryota; Metazoa; Arthropoda; Insecta; Diptera; Culicidae. The transcript is spliced from 2 exons.
ACGAAACUGAUGAUCAAAACAAACUUGAAGAUAUACUCAAAUGAUUGUAUACACAUACACUAAUGUAAAACACCCUGACACACACAAUGACGUUGAAAAGACAUAUGAAAAGCAAUGGUGGAAGACAGCAAAACUUUGUGCCCGAAUUCGACCAGCGCAAAAUAUUGUGGAUUAUCCGACGCACAAACCGCCAAACUUAGUCAGACCAAGUCGAAAAACAGACCAUUUUUUCAUAUGACAAUUUCACGUUAUGCAAAA